RNAcentral lists this ribosomal RNA (253 nucleotides) under uncultured bacterium. RNAcentral describes it as "partial 16S ribosomal RNA". It matches the Rfam family "Bacterial small subunit ribosomal RNA", at positions 524 to 776 of the family's 1533-position model. The record is from RNAcentral.
UACAGAGGGGGCAAGCGUUGUUCGGAAUUACUGGGCGUAAAGGGCGCGUAGGCGGCUUGGUCAGUCCCGUGUGAAAUCCUUCGGCUCAACUGAGGAACUGCACGGGAAACUGCCUGGCUUGAGUUCGGGAGAGGGAAGCGGAAUUCCGGGUGUAGCGGUGAAAUGCGUAGAGAUCGGGAGGAAGGCCGGUGGCGAAGGCGGCGCUCUGGACCGUACCUGACGCUGAGACACGAAAGCGUGGGGAGCAAACAGG